CGCGGCCUAUCAGCUUGUUGGUGAGGCGGUGGCUCACCAAGGCGUCGACGGGUAGCCGGCCUGAGAGGGUGACCGGCCACAUUGGGACUGAGAUACGGCCCAGACUCCUACGGGAGGCAGCAGUGGGGAAUAUUGCACAAUGGGCGAAAGCCUGAUGCAGCAACGCCGCGUGCGGGAUGACGGCCUUCGGGUUGUAAACCGCUUUCGCCAGGGACGAAGGGCCUUUCGGGGUUUGACGGUACCUGGAGAAGAAGCACCGGCUAACUACGUGCCAGCAGCCGCGGUGAUACGUAGGGUGCGAGCGUUGUCCGGAUUUAUUGGGCGUAAAGAGCUCGUAGGUGGUUGAUCGCGUCGGAAGUGAAAACUUGGGGCUUAACCCUGGGCGUGCUUUCGAUACGGGUUGACUUGAGGAAGGUAGGGGAGAAUGGAAUUCCUGGUGGAGCGGUGGAAUGCGCAGAUAUCAGGAGGAACACCAGUGGCGAAGGCGGUUCUCUGGACCUUUCCUGACGCUGAGGAGCGAAAGCGUGGGGAGCAAACAGGCUUAGAUACCCUGGUAGUCCACGCUGUAAACGGUGGGUACUAGGUGUGGGGUCCAUUCCACGGAUUCCGUGCCGUAGCUAACGCAUUAAGUACCCCGCCUGGGGAGUACGG
Molecule: ribosomal RNA, 651 nt
Filed under: uncultured Actinomycetes bacterium
Lineage: Bacteria; Bacillati; Actinomycetota; Actinomycetes
Description: bacterial SSU rRNA
Rfam family: Bacterial small subunit ribosomal RNA
Source: RNAcentral